RNAcentral lists this ribosomal RNA (496 nucleotides) under uncultured bacterium. RNAcentral describes it as "partial 16S ribosomal RNA". It matches the Rfam family "Bacterial small subunit ribosomal RNA", at positions 28 to 523 of the family's 1533-position model. The record is from RNAcentral.
GAUGAACGCUAGCGGCAGGCUUAACACAUGCAAGUCGAGGGGUAGAGGAUGCUUGCUUCCUUGAGACCGGCGCACGGGUGCGUAACGCGUAUACAAUCUACCUUUUACAGAGGGAUAGCCCAGAGGAAUUUGGAUUAAUACCUCAUAGUAUCUUCGAAUCGCAUGGUUUGAUUAUUAAAGUUCCAACGGUAAAAGAUGAGUAUGCGUCCCAUUAGCUAGAUGGUAAGGUAACGGCUUACCAUGGCAACGAUGGGUAGGGGUCCUGAGAGGGAGAUCCCCCACACUGGUACUGAGACACGGACCAGACUCCUACGGGAGGCAGCAGUGAGGAAUAUUGGACAAUGGGCGCAAGCCUGACCCAGCCAUGCCGCGUGCAGGAAGACGGUCCUAUGGAUUGUAAACUGCUUUUAUACAGGAAGAAACACUCCCUCGUGAGGGAACUUGACGGUACUGUAUGAAUAAGCAUCGGCUAACUCCGUGCCAGCAGCCGCCGUAA